GAAGCACCCCCAGGAAGGAAAAUUAUGACUGGAAAUUUUCAGAAAAUUGUACCUCUUCUAAAUGAUGGAGUUCAAGAAAUUAGAAAAGCAGUCCAGAGAUUAUUCAGUGUUAUAAAUUAUAAAGCAACACCUGUUGUUUAGCAACCUUCCAUUUUUGUAAAAUUUUCAAAACCGAAAUUUGUCUUAUGAAGUAUCAAAAUUGCUAUUAAAUAUGUUUAUAUUAUUAUAUACUUUUUAUAACUUAUAACAGUUGUGCAGUUUUAAAUAUAAUAUUACAAAUAAUGCACAGUAUUAACCCCAAGUCUAUGCAAAGGCAGCAAAAGUAUUGAAUCAGGUAUGCAUAAUUUUUAAUAACAAAAUUUUGCAACAUAAGAAAAAGUUAUAGCUAAACUCCAUCAAACUUUAUUACAUGCUCCUAUAUCACAUAAAUACAAUUUAUUUAUUUAUUUUUCUCUCUUUGCGAGAAAGACCUUGGUGCUGACAGAGGAUUUGCCAAGGAGGGGAAAAAGAAAAAGAACAUUUGAUUCCGUACAAUUAAAUUCCCAUAAAUCCAGAAGAUAAAGAUGUAGGAAAAGAUUUUUACUAAUGUUUUAUGUGUACAUAUAUAUAUUUAUGUAUAUAUAUUAGAGCAAAUUUAUAAGGGAAAAUGAACUAUAGCACUAAUAUUUAACAAGCUUUUGUAUACAACGACAAUUUGUUUUCUUUUCCGUAUUCAAGUCCCAUUUCACAUUGUUCAAUUUUUAUAUUUCUGAAAAUAAACAUAAAAGACAUUUUAGAAAACAGCAAAGACCUUAAACAUAUGUUAAAACUAACAAACUGAUUAAAAAAAAAAAAAAGAAAGAAAGAAAGAAUUUACACAAAAUUAGAUA
Molecule: long non-coding RNA, 869 nt
Organism: Stegodyphus dumicola
Lineage: Eukaryota; Metazoa; Arthropoda; Arachnida; Araneae; Eresidae
Source: RefSeq, a predicted model, not a curated record